AGCUCCAAUUGCAGUUAAAAAGCUCGUAGUUGAAUUUCUGUUGCGGCGACCAUGUGAUACUAUGUAUCUAUUGUGUUGCUUCAACAUUUUCCCAUGCACGUCACUUAGCUGUGUCUGUGUUUGGGGAGCUUUACUUUGAGAAAAAUAGAGUGUUUCAAGCAGGCUGUGCCUUGAAUACUGCAGCAUGGAAUAAUGAAAUAGACCUGCAUUCCUAUUUCGUUGGUUUUGAGGAAUGAGUGAUGAUUAAUAGGGAUAGUUGGGGGCAUUUGUAUUCGACUGUCAGAGGUGAAAUUCUUAGAUUUGUCGAAGACAAACAACUGCGAAAGCAUUUGCCAAGGAUAUUCUCA
This 347-nucleotide ribosomal RNA is filed under the name uncultured eukaryote. RNAcentral's name for it is "SSU rRNA". It matches the Rfam family "Eukaryotic small subunit ribosomal RNA", at positions 613 to 972 of the family's 1831-position model. The record is from RNAcentral.